GUGGGUUUAGCUCAGUGGUAGAGCACAUGCUUAGCAUGCAUAAGGUCCUGGGUUCAAUCCCCAGUACCUCCA
Molecule: transfer RNA, 72 nt
Filed under: Camelus bactrianus (Bactrian camel)
Lineage: Eukaryota; Metazoa; Chordata; Mammalia; Artiodactyla; Camelidae
Also listed under: 1 other name
Rfam family: tRNA
About the family: Transfer RNA (tRNA) molecules are approximately 80 nucleotides in length. Their secondary structure includes four short double-helical elements and three loops (D, anti-codon, and T loops).
Source: Rfam by way of RNAcentral